RNAcentral lists this transfer RNA (60 nucleotides) under Pseudocrangonyx daejeonensis. Its description in RNAcentral is "tRNA-His". The record is from RNAcentral. Lineage: Eukaryota; Metazoa; Arthropoda; Malacostraca; Amphipoda; Pseudocrangonyctidae.
GUCUGUGUAGUUUAUAUAAAAUAUUACAUUGUGGUUGUGAGGAAGUUGACACCUAAGACA